GAUGCUGACGAGUGGCGGACGGGUGCGUAACGCGUAUGAACCUUCCUUAUGCAGGGGGAUAGCCCAUGGAAACGUGGAUUAAUACCCCAUAUUAUUAUAGAUAUGCAUGUAUNUAUGAUAAAAACUUUGGUGGCAUAAGAUGGGCAUGCGUCUGAUUAGUUAGUUGGUAAGGUAACUGCUUACCAGUGCGAUGAUCAGUAGGGGUCCUGAGAGGGUUUCCCCCACACUGGUACUGAGACACGGGCCAGACUCCUACGGGAGGCAGCAGUGAGGAAUAUCGGUCAAUGGCCGCAAGGCUGAACCAGCCAUCCCGCGUGCAGGAUGACAGCCCUAUGGGUUGUAAACUGUUUUUCUACGAGAAGAAUACCCGCGACGCGAUUGUGGAUUGACGGUAUUGUAGGAAUAAGCAUCGGCUAACUCCGUGCCAGCAGCCGCGGUAAUACGGAGGAUGCGAGUGUUAUCCGGAUUCAUUGGGUUUAAAGGGUGCGCAGGCGGGGAUGUAAGUCAGUGGUGAGAAGCUGCCGCUUAACGGUAGUCUUGCCGAUGAUACUGCAUUUCUUGAGUAUGGAUGAGGUAGGCGGAAUGUGCAGUGUAGCGGUGAAAUGCAUAGAUAUUGCACAGAACGUCGAUUGCGGAGGCAGCUUACUAAGCCAUAACUGACGCUGAGGCACGAAAGCGUGGGGAGCGAACAGGAUUAGAUACCCUGGUAGUCCACGCUGUAAACUAUGUUCACUCGCUGUUUGCGAUAUACAGUAAGCGGCUAAGCGAAAGCAUUAAGUGAACCACCUGGGGAGUACGAUCGCAAGUUUGAAACUCAAAGGAAUUGACGGGGGCCCGCACAAGCGGAGGAACAUGUGGUUUAAUUCGAUGAUACGCGAGGAACCUUACCUGGGCUUAAAUGCAGGUUGCAUUACCGGGAGACCGGUAUUCCCUUCGGGGCUACCUGCAAGGUGCUGCAUGGUUGUCGUCGGCUCGUGCCGUGAGGUGUCGGGUUAAGUCCCAUAACGAGCGCAACCCUUACCGUUAGUUACCAUCAGGUAGAGCUGGGGACUCUGGCGGGACUGCCACCGUAAGGUGAGAGGAAGGUGGGGAUGACGUCAAAUCAGCACGGCCCUUAUGUCCAGGGCUACACACGUGUUACAAUGGCCGGUACAAA
RNAcentral lists this ribosomal RNA (1156 nucleotides) under uncultured organism. Its description in RNAcentral is "bacterial SSU rRNA". It matches the Rfam family "Bacterial small subunit ribosomal RNA", at positions 84 to 1243 of the family's 1533-position model. The record is from RNAcentral.